AAAUUGCUCCUGAAGUCGGCCAAGAAGAGACUUAAGAAGGAUAUGACUGGGGCCUUCUAUGUUCCAAAAGGCUUGGAUCAUUGGGAAAGGCAGUGUUUCUCCAGGGUCUCUUCCAGCUCUAAUUGUCGGAUUCUGUCUUUGCAGAAAAACGACGAGCCAAUGAGGUCCACAAGCCACAAUUACGAAAACUCCGAGAGGCCAACAUUUCAGCCAGACGGACAGUGAGUCCUCGGUUGGCACCAAGAGUAAGUGUGCACAUGAUCUGGGGAGACGGGUUUCGACGUCCACCUCAAAGAUGCUCCUCAUGGAGAGACCCAUCGCGGUGACUUAACCGCCACCCCUCUGUUGUUUGUUUCUGCACACGGUUGGACAAGGGGUAAGAGCCCGGCCCAGUUUUGCUGUGAAUUUCCUUUGUGAAGAGCUCCUGCUGGCCCUGGCUGCUUGCUUGGCCUCAUCCUGCCUGUCACGCAGCAGCUGUGUCUCCAAAUUUGGCCUGGACAUGGGAAGGAAUGCUGUGUUCGUGAGCUUGGCCUAACACAGGAAUGUGUAUAUUGAUCUGAACUGUGCCAAGUGUGUGCCGUGGAAGUGAGAGCGUUGACAAUGGACCGGGAUAUGCAGUUCUAUGGGAUUCCUUCUAGCCGCCCCCUCCCUGUGGAACGCCUUCCCAAAGGAAGCUAGCCUGGGGGCUUCCUCUCAGUUUUUGACAGGAUGUAAGUUUUGUCCGGUUCUGGGUGGCAUUUCGCUGCUUCCAGAGCAUCCCUGGGGGGCAUUUUGGCAGAAAACCCCACAGCAUCUCUCCUGGGGAGGUUGUGAAGGACAGACCCAAGUUUCCCCCGGAUAUGUCCACACAUGGAUUUCGGAAGGAGGCAGUUCUCUGACCCCAGAAGUCAAGACUCUGCGGGGGCCUCUUCAUGUUCUUGUAAAACGGGAUAAAAAGGGAAUUUGCUUUUAA
This is a long non-coding RNA of Varanus komodoensis (Komodo dragon), 952 nucleotides long. RefSeq lists it as uncharacterized. The transcript has 3 exons. NCBI's taxonomy places the organism in Eukaryota, Metazoa, Chordata, Lepidosauria, Squamata, Varanidae. The record is from RefSeq and is a predicted model, not a curated record.